CUAAUACCGCAUACGAUCUAAGGAUGAAAGGUGGGGGAUCUUCGGACCUCAUGCUCAUGGAGUGGCCGAUAUCUGAUUAGCUAGUUGGUGAGGUAAAGGCUCACCAAGGCGACGAUCAGUAGCUGGUUUGAGAGAACGACCAGCCACACUGGAACUGAGACACGGUCCAGACUCCUACGGGAGGCAGCAGUGGGGAAUUUUGGACAAUGGGGGCAACCCUGAUCCAGCAAUGCCGCGUGAGUGAAGAAGGCCUUCGGGUUGUAAAGCUCUUUUGUCAGGGAAGAAACGGUGAGUUCUAAUACAGCUUGCUAAUGACGGUACCUGAAGAAUAAGCACCGGCUAACUACGUG
RNAcentral lists this ribosomal RNA (350 nucleotides) under uncultured bacterium. RNAcentral describes it as "bacterial SSU rRNA". It matches the Rfam family "Bacterial small subunit ribosomal RNA", at positions 163 to 507 of the family's 1533-position model. The record is from RNAcentral.